CCAGCUCCAAGAGUGUAUAUUAAAGUUGUUGCCGUUAAAAAGCUCGUAGUUGAACCUUGGACCUGGCUGAUCUGUCCUCCUAAUCGAGCGCACGGAUUCGGUCGGGUCUUUCCUUCUGGGGAGCCCUAUGCCCUUCACUGGGUGUAGUGGGGAACCAGGACUUUUACCUUGAAAAAAUUAGAGUGUUCAAAGCAGGCCUUUGCUCGAAUACAUUAGCAUGGAAUAAUAGAAUAGGACAUCGGUUCUAUUUUGUUGGUUUCUAGGACCGCUGUAAUGAUUAAUAGGGAUAGUCGGGGGCGUCAGUAUUCAAUUGUCAGAGGUGAAAUUCUUGGAUUUAUUGAAGACUAACUACUGCGAAAGCAUUCGCCAAGGAUGUUUUCAUUAAUCAGUGAACGAAAGUUAGGGGAUCGAAGACGAUCAGAUACCGUCGUAGUCUUAACCAUAAACUAUGCCGACUAGGGAUCGGACGGUGGUUUUUUUAU
RNAcentral lists this ribosomal RNA (482 nucleotides) under uncultured Exophiala. RNAcentral describes it as "SSU rRNA". It matches the Rfam family "Eukaryotic small subunit ribosomal RNA", at positions 585 to 1072 of the family's 1831-position model. Lineage: Eukaryota; Fungi; Ascomycota; Eurotiomycetes; Chaetothyriales; Herpotrichiellaceae. The record is from RNAcentral.